Molecule: ribosomal RNA, 253 nt
Filed under: uncultured organism
Description: partial 16S ribosomal RNA
Rfam family: Bacterial small subunit ribosomal RNA
Source: RNAcentral
UACAGAGGGUGCAAGCGUUAAUCGGAAUUACUGGGCGUAAAGCGCACGUAGGCGGAUAGUUAAGUCAGAUGUGAAAUCCCCGGGCUCAACCUGGGAAUGGCAUUUGAAACUGGCUAUCUAGAGUAUGGUAGAGGAAGGUGGAAUUUCAGGUGUAGCGGUGAAAUGCGUAGAUAUCUGAAGGAACACCAGUGGCGAAGGCGGCCUUCUGGACCAAUACUGACGCUGAGGAGCGAAAGCGUGGGUAGCGAACAGG